AUGAACGAACACAUGAUGAAAAUCCUGAGGAGGAUGACGUGGAAACCCUUGGUAGGGGUAAGAGACAAAGGACUCGAGAUGGAUUCCAUCAUGGCUAACGGGAUAUGGGAGAUCACUGAGCGUCCCUAUGGUUGCAAACCAUUGGGAUGUAAGUGGGUGUUCAAGAAAAAGCUUAGGCCCGAUGGUACGAUUGAAAAGUACAAGGCCAGGCUUAUGGCCAAGGGCUAUGACCAGAAAGAAGAGGAAGAUUUCUUUGAUACUUAUUCACCUAUGGCUAGACUGGCCACCAUUCGAGUAUUACUCUCGUUGGCGGCCUCACAUGGUAUUCUCGUCCAUCAAAUGGAUGUUAAGACGGCUUUUCUGAAUGGAGAGCUAAAUGAGGAAAUCUACAUGCAACAGCCAGAUGGCUUUGUGAUAGAUGGUCAGGAAAGUAAGGUGUGUAAGUUGCUGAAAUCUUUAUAUGGCCUGAAGCAAGCACCUAAGCAAUGUCAUGAUAAGUUCAAUACAACUCUGACAUCUGUUGGUUUCAUUGUUAAUGAGGCUGACAAAUGUGUAUACUAUCUCCAUGGUGGGGGCAAAGGAGUUAUACUGUGCUUGUAUGUUGAUGACAUACUGAUAUUCGGAACAAACCUCAAAGUCAUUGAGGAGGUCAAAUCGUUUCUGUCUCAGAACUUUGAGAUGAAGGACCUUGGUGUGGCUGAUGUCAUCUUGAACAUCAAGCUACUGAGAGUAAUGAGGGUGGGAUCACACUUCUGCAAUCCCAUUAUGUUGAGAAGGUGUUGA
This 783-nucleotide ribosomal RNA is filed under the name Triticum aestivum (bread wheat). RNAcentral describes it as "partial small subunit ribosomal RNA". Lineage: Eukaryota; Viridiplantae; Streptophyta; Magnoliopsida; Poales; Poaceae. The record is from RNAcentral.